This is a long non-coding RNA of Suricata suricatta (meerkat), 856 nucleotides long. RefSeq lists it as uncharacterized. The record is from RefSeq and is a predicted model, not a curated record. NCBI's taxonomy places the organism in Eukaryota, Metazoa, Chordata, Mammalia, Carnivora, Herpestidae. The transcript has 2 exons.
UGGGGGAGGAGCAGUCGCCGCGCGUUAGUCGGGGAUCGGUGCGGGUCCUGGUUCUUAUGAGCCAUGUUUUAUGAAGAAAGACCUGUUUUAUGAAGAAAGCAGAAAUAAUCAUGGAAAGUGCCAGAUUUUGAGGAAUUUCAUCAUUUACUCAAAAGAGUAACUUUUGACACCUGUAAAAAGGUAUUCUUUCUUCCAGAAUCCAUUUAAGUCAGAAUUUUGCUAAAUUUGCUUAGUAAAUUUAAUAUUUAACACAUUGAAAAGACUUUACAUGUAUGAAUAUUGGUUUAAUAUGUAAUUUAAAGGCAAUGUGGGUCUCCAUAUUGUUUCAUGCUUUGGCCCUUAAAAAAACAAAAUGUUCUCUCUGUCAUUUUUUUAAAGGUUUAACUUUUUUAUUGAAAUAUUUUGCAUUUUAUAGUGCCUUUCUUAGAAUUCUAAAACUUCAAAGAGACUUUUAGCUUUCCCCAAUUACUGUUAUCUUCAUGCCAUAUGUCCAGGUUUUUUAAAAAAGACUUUUGUGAUUAGAACUGUUUAAAAAUUAUUGCAUGAAUUGCCUUGGUGCACAGAGGGGAAAAAAAAGCAUCAGAAAUUAGCAUACAUAUCGGAUCAGAUAAUUAUACAUUCUGCUAUAAAUUCAAUUGUAUAUAAAAGAAUUUUUCAUUUUUCUAACAUGAAAAUAUAUAUAAAAGCUUCUUGGAAUUCCUGUCUGGGUUUGCUCAAUUUUUAAAAUUAACCUUGUCAGUGAAAUUCAGCUGUAUCAUUGCCACCUAGUGGUAAAAUUAACAUUAUUGUUAAGCUGUGUGGUUUUAAAUUUUAAUAUCUAGUAAAAGGUUCACUGUUUUGUGACCUUGAGUGUGAA